GGAGUCUGGGCCGUGUCUCAGUCCCAAUGUGGCCGUUCGUCCUCUCAGACCGGCUACGCAUCAUCGCCUUGGUGGGCCGUUACCUCACCAACUAGCUAAUGCGACAUGAGCCCAUCCCAAUGUGGUGGAAACCCACCUUUAAUAAUAUCGAGAUGCCUCAAUAUUAAUUAUCCGGUAUUAGCAUCCUUUUCAGAAUGUUAUCCCAGUCAAAGGGGUAGGUUGCUCAUGUAUUACUCACCCGUUCGCCACUAAGAUUCCUCAUCUUCAAGGUGCAAGCGCCUUUCCGUCGAGGCCUCUCCGUUCGACUUGCAUGUAUUAGGCACGCCGCCAGCGUUCAUC
RNAcentral lists this ribosomal RNA (339 nucleotides) under uncultured Erysipelotrichaceae bacterium. RNAcentral describes it as "partial 16S ribosomal RNA". Lineage: Bacteria; Bacillati; Bacillota; Erysipelotrichia; Erysipelotrichales; Erysipelotrichaceae. The record is from RNAcentral.